This 497-nucleotide ribosomal RNA is filed under the name uncultured bacterium. RNAcentral describes it as "partial 16S ribosomal RNA". It matches the Rfam family "Bacterial small subunit ribosomal RNA", at positions 28 to 507 of the family's 1533-position model. The record is from RNAcentral.
GAUGAACGCUGGCGGCGUGCCUAAUACAUGCAAGUCGAGCGAACGGACGAGAAGCUUGCUUCUCUGAUGUUAGCGGCGGACGGGUGAGUAACACGUGGAUAACCUACCUAUAAGACUGGGAUAACUUCGGGAAACCGGAGCUAAUACCGGAUGAUAUUUUGAACCGCAUGGUUCAAAAGUGAAAGACGGUCUUGCUGUCACUUAUAGAUGGAUCCGCGCUGCAUUAGCUAGUUGGUAAGGUAACGGCUUACCAAGGCAACGAUGCAUAGCCGACCUGAGAGGGUGAUCGGCCACACUGGAACUGAGACACGGCCCAGACUCCUGCGGGAGGCAGCAGUAGGGAAUCUUCCGCAAUGGGCGAAAGCCUGACGGAGCAACGCCGCGUGAGUGAUGAAGGUCUUCGGAUCGUAAAACUCUGUUAUGAGGGAAGAACAUAUGUGUAAGUACCUGUGCACAUCUUGACGGUACCUAAUCAGAAAGCCACGGCUAACUACGUG